GAUGAACGCUAGCUACAGGCUUAACACAUGCAAGUCGAGGGGCAGCAUGGUCUUAGCUUGCUAAGGCCGAUGGCGACCGGCGCACGGGUGAGUAACACGUAUCCAACCUGCCGUCUACUCUUGGACAGCCUUCUGAAAGGAAGAUUAAUACAAGAUGGCAUCAUGAGUCCACAUGUUCACAUGAUUAAAGGUAUUCCGGUAGACGAUGGGGAUGCGUUCCAUUAGAUAGUAGGCGGGGUAACGGCCCACCUAGUCUUCGAUGGAUAGGGGUUCUGAGAGGAAGGUCCCCCACAUUGGAACUGAGACACGGUCCAAACUCCUACGGGAGGCAGCAGUGAGGAAUAUUGGUCAAUGGGCGAGAGCCUGAACCAGCCAAGUAGCGUGAAGGAUGACUGCCCUAUGGGUUGUAAACUUCUUUUAUAAAGGAAUAAAGUCGGGUAUGGAUACCCGUUUGCAUGUACUUUAUGAAUAAGGAUCGGCUAACUCCGUGCCAGCAGCCGCGGUAAUACGGAGGAUCCGAGCGUUAUCCGGAUUUAUUGGGUUUAAAGGGAGCGUAGAUGGAUGUUUAAGUCAGUUGUGAAAGUUUGCGGCUCAACCGUAAAAUUGCAGUUGAUACUGGAUAUCUUGAGUGCAGUUGAGGCAGGCGGAAUUCGUGGUGUAGCGGUGAAAUGCUUAGAUAUCACGAAGAACUCCGAUUGCGAAGGCAGCCUGCUAAGCUGCAACUGACAUUGAGGCUCGAAAGUGUGGGUAUCAAACAGGAUUAGAUACCCUGGUAGUCCACACGGUAAACGAUGAAUACUCGCUGUUUGCGAUAUACAGCAAGCGGCCAAGCGAAAGCGUUAAGUAUUCCACCUGGGGAGUACGCCGGCAACGGUGAAACUCAAAGGAAUUGACGGGGGCCCGCACAAGCGGAGGAACAUGUGGUUUAAUUCGAUGAUACGCGAGGAACCUUACCCGGGCUUAAAUUGCAGAUGAAUUACGGUGAAAGCCGUAAGCCGCAAGGCAUCUGUGAAGGUGCUGCAUGGUUGUCGUCAGCUCGUGCCGUGAGGUGUCGGCUUAAGUGCCAUAACGAGCGCAACCCUUGUUGUCAGUUACUAACAGGUUCCGCUGAGGACUCUGACAGGACUGCCAUCGUAAGAUGUGAGGAAGGUGGGGAUGACGUCAAAUCAGCACGGCCCUUACGUCCGGGGCUACACACGUGUUACAAUGGGGGGUACAGAGGGCCGCUACCACGCGAGUGGAUGCCAAUCCCAAAAACCUCUCUCAGUUCGGACUGGAGUCUGCAACCCGACUCCACGAAGCUGGAUUCGCUAGUAAUCGCGCAUCAGCCACGGCGCGGUGAAUACGUUCCCGGGCCU
Molecule: ribosomal RNA, 1358 nt
Filed under: uncultured bacterium
Lineage: Bacteria
Description: bacterial SSU rRNA
Rfam family: Bacterial small subunit ribosomal RNA
Source: RNAcentral